AAGCUUUUAAAUAAUUAUAAAAAAUAUUAUCCUCUUGUAAUGUAGUGUAAAAGCUGCUUACAUGAUAGUUUAACAUUAAACAUAAUAACUUAUAUUAUAUAAUAUGGCAAUAAAAAUUUUGUUACUACUUGAUAAUGUUAUUAUUAGUAAUAUUAACAUAUAUACUAAAGGAACUCGGCAAAAUAGCCACUCAACUGUUUAUCAAAAACAUAGCUAUAUGAGUUAAUAUAUAGUUAUUUCUGCUCAAUGAUGUUUAAAUAGCCGCAGUACUCUGACUGUGCAAAGGUAGCAUAAUCAGUUGGCUUUUAAUUGGAGUCUGGCAUGAAAGAAAAUAUGGGUAGCAACUAUCUUAGUGUAUUUAUUUGAAUUUAUUAAACAAGUGCAAAUACUUGUGGUUUAACAAUAGACGAGAAGACCCUAGAAACUUGAAUUAGUUUUUGUUGGGGCGACAGGAUUACAUUUAACUAAUCUUAUAUACAUGACGCAAUGUGGAAAGUAUAAGUUACUCUAGGGAUAACAGCAUAAUUUUAUUAGUUUGUGACCUCGAUGUUGGACUAGGUACUUUACCCUUAAGACAGGGGUAUAUUAUGCUCUGUUCGAGCAGCAGUUACCUACAUGAUCUGAGUUCAGACCGG
Molecule: ribosomal RNA, 635 nt
Filed under: Helix secernenda
Lineage: Eukaryota; Metazoa; Mollusca; Gastropoda; Stylommatophora; Helicidae
Description: partial large subunit ribosomal RNA
Rfam family: Archaeal large subunit ribosomal RNA
Source: RNAcentral